RNAcentral lists this ribosomal RNA (460 nucleotides) under uncultured bacterium. RNAcentral's name for it is "partial 16S ribosomal RNA". It matches the Rfam family "Bacterial small subunit ribosomal RNA", at positions 338 to 795 of the family's 1533-position model. The record is from RNAcentral.
CCUACGGGGGGCAGCAGUGAGGAAUAUUGGUCAAUGGGCGGAAGCCUGAACCAGCCAAGUAGCGUGCAGGAUGACGGCCCUACGGGUUUUAAACUGCUUUUAUACGGGAAUAACGCGCCUUAUGUGUAGGGCUUUGCAUGUACCUUAUGACUAAGGACCGGCUAAUUCCGUGCCAGCAGCCGCGGUAAUACGGAGGGUCCGUGCGUUAUCCGGAUUUAUUGGGUUGAAAGGGAGUGCAGGCCGCAGGCCAGGCGUGCUGUGAAAUGUCCGGGCUCAACCCGGGCCUUGCAGCGCGAACUGGCGUGCUGGAGUCCGCGGAAAGCAGGCGGAAUUCGUCGUGUAGCGGUGAAAUGCUUAGAUAUGACGAAGAACCCCGGUUGCGAAGGCAGCUUGCUGCAGCGGAACUGACGCUGAUGCUCGAAAGCGCGGGUAUCGAACAGGAUUAGAUACCCGAGUAGUC